Molecule: long non-coding RNA, 255 nt
Filed under: Manihot esculenta (cassava)
Lineage: Eukaryota; Viridiplantae; Streptophyta; Magnoliopsida; Malpighiales; Euphorbiaceae
Description: long non-coding RNA (MESC_LNC007293)
Source: RNAcentral
UCCUGUGUUGGAACUGUUGAGGACUCGGCAAUCCUCGGACAAUUAAUGCAUUGAAGGAUUUAUUUACUAGUUAGAAGCUAGAUAUUUUAUUUUUUAUGGAAACAAAAUCUCUUAGUUCUUGUAUGAAAUUUUUUCAUAGUUUUUUACAUUUUGAUGGUUGCUUCUCAGUCAAUAGACAAUGAUUAGGAGGAGGCCUUUCGUUGAUGUGGAAGAGUCAUGUGUCUGUUUCUGUGGUUGAUUUUUCUUUAAAUUUUA